Molecule: non-coding RNA, 369 nt
Organism: Chlorocebus sabaeus (green monkey)
Lineage: Eukaryota; Metazoa; Chordata; Mammalia; Primates; Cercopithecidae
Source: RefSeq, a predicted model, not a curated record
CUCCCAGGUUCAAAGGAUUCUCCUGCCUCAGCCUCCCAGUUCUUCCAACUUUGGAGCAGAAUGUACCAAGAAUGUAACUCCCUGAAAUAAGGAAGAACCCUCCAGAAUAGCUUAAGAUUUUUCCUCAUCUCUCCAAGAAGAGGAUGUUCUGCAACACUUGAACUCAGGAAACCAAGUUGCCCUCAGGAUAUAAAACCCAGAAGGGUGGGACUUUGAGGCUUUUACUUUGGUGCAGAUUGGGGCACAUGCAGAUAGACUUCAUCCAUUUUGCACAACUUUCCUGAACCAGGGGGAAUCAGCUCACCAUGGAGUCCAGGUUUCUGUUAAUCCCUGCUGCCUAUCUGUGAGUAAUAAAGUUGCUUUUGUUGA